This 465-nucleotide ribosomal RNA is filed under the name Vreelandella stevensii. Its description in RNAcentral is "partial 16S ribosomal RNA". It matches the Rfam family "Bacterial small subunit ribosomal RNA", at positions 338 to 795 of the family's 1533-position model. The record is from RNAcentral. Lineage: Bacteria; Pseudomonadati; Pseudomonadota; Gammaproteobacteria; Oceanospirillales; Halomonadaceae.
CCUACGGGAGGCUGCAGUGGGGAAUAUUGGACAAUGGGCGAAAGCCUGAUCCAACCAUGCCGCGUGUGUGAAGAAGGCCUUCGGGUUGUAAAGCACUUUCAGUGGGGAAGAAAGCCUUGGGGCUAAUACCCUCGAGGAAGGACAUCACCCACAGAAGAAGCACCGGCUAACUCCGUGCCAGCAGCCGCGGUAAUACGGAGGGUGCGAGCGUUAAUCGGAAUUACUGGGCGUAAAGCGCGCGUAGGCGGUCUGAUAAGCCGGUUGUGAAAGCCCCGGGCUCAACCUGGGAACGGCAUCCGGAACUGUCAGGCUAGAGUGCAGGAGAGGAAGGUAGAAUUCCCGGUGUAGCGGUGAAAUGCGUAGAGAUCGGGAGGAAUACCAGUGGCGAAGGCGGCCUUCUGGACUGACACUGACGCUGAGGUGCGAAAGCGUGGGUAGCAAACAGGAUUAGAUACCCGUGUAGUC